Phacochoerus africanus (Common warthog) is the source of this 1671-nucleotide long non-coding RNA. RefSeq lists it as uncharacterized. The record is from RefSeq and is a predicted model, not a curated record. NCBI's taxonomy places the organism in Eukaryota, Metazoa, Chordata, Mammalia, Artiodactyla, Suidae. The transcript is spliced from 2 exons.
AGAAUGUUCCAUAUGAACUUAAUAAGAAUGUACAUUCUGCUGCUUUCAGACAGAAUGUUAUCAGUUAAGUCUGUCUGGUCUAGUGUUGUCAUUUAAGACCUUAUUGAUUGCCUGUCUGGCUGAUCUGUCUAUUGGUGUAUUAGCAAAUGCCUAGUCUUGUUAUAGGGAAGUUUAUCGCUUGAAAAAAGUUCAAAAAAAAGUGCCAUUUCCAUCUGAUGUUACAAGUGUUUAAGGGUCUUUUAAGAUGUUUGUACAAGUGUAUUCAAAGAAGCUUUCUGUGCUUCACUGCACUGAGGUCCUGGAAUUGAGCAAUGUUGAACAGAAGGUCAUUCUCAUUUCAGGGAUAACUUUGCCUACUUACUGCAGUUAAAAGAUGAGAUGUUUGCCUGAUGGAUUAAUGCUGCGUCCCAAACAGGGUACUCUCAGGAAGAUUCUGUGCUGGGCACCACUGAAGUUUGAACAUGACCACUGGGCCCUCUGAUUCCUUCUGGGAAGAGAGCUGCUGAAGCCACUAAAGAGCAGUGGACAUCAGAGGACAUACUCCUGGUGCUGACCUUCAGCUGGAGCCUGCUGGUGUGGAAGAGAGGGCAUGCAGGACACCUAGGAAGCCAGCUCUCCAUUCCAGGAGCUCCUGAGGGUGGCCCAGCCCAUCCCUCCCAUGCUGCUUUGUAGCAGAAAUUCUCCUCCUCACUAGAAAUGCCUGAAACCAGAGCAUCUUUUCUGGGGCGAAAGGAGGGCCAAAGCUGUGACUGUGGAGACAACUUGGCCCGUUGGACCUGGUGUGCAGCAAUGCUUCCAAACUGUAGGUGCCUACAGACCAUCAUUCUGAUUUCCAUCAUGCCUGCAGACAGAUGCUUUUUUGUUUUAAAUUAAUGCUUUCAGAAAACAGAUCCUUCCUACACUGUUGCUAGGAAUGUAAUUUGGGGCAGCUGCGAUGGAAAACAGGACAGAGGGUCCUGAAAAGACAAACACUAGAGCUGCCCCAUGAUCCAGCAGUCCCACACGUGGGCAUAGAGCGGGACAAAACUAUCGAUCCAAACUGCACAGGCCCCCCACCCCCACGCCCAGGUCCAGAGCAGCACAAGUCACAACAGCCCAGGUGUGGAAGCAAGCUCGGUGUCUGUCCACAGAUGCAUGGAUCAAGAAGACCUGCUCCUUAGGUCCAAGGGACUGGGGCUCGGCCAUAAAAAGGAAGGAAACAGUGCCAUUGGCAGCAACGUCGAUCGACCUAGAAAUUAGCAUACCAAGUGAAGCACGCCAGCAGAGCAAGACAAAUACCAGAGGCUAUCCUUCCCGGGUGGAAGCACCAAAAAAGACAACUGAACUUAUUUACACAAUAGAAAUAGAUGCACAAACCAUGGUGACCAAACGGGAAAGGGGUGGAGGGCAAUAAACUGGGAGGUUGCCAUGAACUCAUAUGCACCACUAGAGGUACUCAACAAGGGCCUACUGUAUGGCAUGGGGGAUGCUUUUCAGUGUGUUGGAAGAGCCUCUAUGGGAAGGGAAAGGAAUCCCAAAGAGAUUUUGUAUGUGUGUGUGUGACUAUAUAUAUUUACAUGUGUAUGGAUGUGGAUGUGUGUGUGUGUGUAUAAUAGAAUCUCUUGUGCUGUAACCUGAAACUCACCUGACAUUGUAAAUCAACAAGACGUCAAUAAAGAAUUAACAAAUCAA